Molecule: ribosomal RNA, 424 nt
Filed under: Verrucomicrobiota bacterium
Lineage: Bacteria; Pseudomonadati; Verrucomicrobiota
Description: Verrucomicrobia bacterium partial 16S ribosomal RNA
Rfam family: Bacterial small subunit ribosomal RNA
Source: RNAcentral
UGAGGAAUAUUGGUCAAUGGACGCAAGUCUGAACCAGCCAAGUAGCGUGCAGGAUGACGGCCCUAUGGGUUGUAAACUGCUUUUAUAUGGGGAUAAAGUGGGGAACGUUUUCCCUUUUGCAUGUACCAUAUGAAUAAGGACCGGCUAAUUCCGUGCCAGCAGCCGCGGUAAUACGGAAGGUUCGGGCGUUAUCCGGACUUAUUGGGUUUAAAGGGAGCGUAGGCCGUUUGGUAAGCGUGUUGUGAAAUGUAGGAGCUCAACUUCUAGAUUGCAGCGCGAACUGUCAGACUUGAGUGCGCACAACGUAGGCGGAAUUCAUGGUGUAGCGGUGAAAUGCUUAGAUAUCAUGAAGAACUCCGAUUGCGAAGGCAGCUUACGGGAGCGCAACUGACGCUGAAGCUCGAAGGUGCGGGUAUCGAACAGG